Molecule: long non-coding RNA, 1219 nt
Filed under: Cyanistes caeruleus (blue tit)
Lineage: Eukaryota; Metazoa; Chordata; Aves; Passeriformes; Paridae
Description: lncRNA (ENSCCEG00000024102.1)
Source: RNAcentral
AUUUUUAUAAUGUUAGUAUAUUUUACUGUUAUGUAAUGUAAUAUAUUAUUAUAUUAGUGCAUUUUCUGCAGUGUUUAAACUAUUUAUUAUGCAAACUUAGAGAAGUCAAAAUAUGAAUUAUGUACAAAUCUACGUGCUGGAGUUCUCAGCUAAUCUCUGCAUCUUUGUGUCUUGUGGUUGAAGGGAACCAAAGUGCACAGAGUAGGAAACAUCAGAGAGAUUUACACCCAGUUGUGGUUUGGGAUAUGUAUGACAGUGCAGCUACACCCCUUGUGAGUGAGAGGAGGAAAAAGAGAACAAGCAAAGAAAAUAGCAGACAUGAACUAACGCAGACAUUAGCUUAAGAGAGAGAGAUAAGAGUUCUUGUUCAGAAUUUUCUCUCAUUCAUUUUCUAGUCCACGUAGUGGAAAUCCUCCGUACACCCCUUUCCUUGCAGCCCCUGACACUGAGCUGGGACAGCAGUGCUGGGAACCUCUCUGAUGGCUGAUCAGCACCUCAAGGCACGUCUCAGGUGCUGCCUCAGCUGUCACCCACACACCACCCUGCAGGAAGAUAAACUCCUGCAUCCUCCUGCUACUCUCCCCUCUGCUGCUCUGUCACACUUCAGGCUUGCACUGAUUCCCCAACAUAUUGAGGAGAAGAGGGGCAGGGGUGCAGCAGAGCAAGCUGCCUUCAGUUCCACAGCCAUGAAGUGACACCUGCCAGGCCUCUGGCACGCAUCUGAUCACCAAUUAACAGGAUGAUUUAUGGUGUAACGAGAGGAUGCCCUUCCAGUCUCUCAGGCUGUUUGGGGAAGACACCAAUUCACAGGCAGCAAGGAGAACCUGCCUUCUCUUGGCAAACUCGUCUUUGGCUGCAAACUUCGCUCAUCAGCUCAUUAGUGCCAAACGUGGGGUGAAAAUCUGGAAUAGUGAGGAAACUGGAACUGCACUGGCACAGGGUGGGUUUGGAGCAACCUGGGGUAGUGGAAGGUGUCCUGCCCAUGGAAGGGGGUGGAAUGAGGUAUUUUAAGUUUUUUCCACCCCAAAGCAUUGUGUGAUUCUGAAACAAUUGGGUUUUCUCCAGCUUCAUCUCUGGCCUGAGCAGAGGUGCCCUUUCAGCUGGCUGUUGCCAAGGCUGCAGGAGCCAUGGCAAGGCUGUCUCUGCAGCAGAGAGAUGUUUGUGUCUGACAAUACCUGAGGCAGUAAUAAAAGAACACUUUUAAUUUUAUUGAGGUGCA